RNAcentral lists this ribosomal RNA (441 nucleotides) under uncultured bacterium. RNAcentral's name for it is "partial 16S ribosomal RNA". It matches the Rfam family "Bacterial small subunit ribosomal RNA", at positions 338 to 795 of the family's 1533-position model. The record is from RNAcentral.
CCUACGGGGAGCUGCAGUGGGGGAUAUUGCACAAUGGGGGGAACCCUGAUGCAGCGACGCCGCGUGGGUGAAGGAGUAUUUCGGUAUGUAAAGCCCUAUCGGCAGGGAAGAAUUUAGACGGUACCUGACUAAGAAGCCCCGGCUAACUACGUGCCAGCAGCCGCGGUAAUACGUAGGGGGCAAGCGUUAUCCGGAUUCACUGGGUGUAAAGGGAGCGUAGACGGCAGCGCAAGUCUGGAGUGAAAUGGCGGGGCCCAACCCCGGAACUGCUCUGGAAACUGGGAAGCUGGAGUGCAGGAGAGGUAAGCGGAAUUCCUGGUGUAGCGGUGAAAGGCGUAGAUAUCAGGAGGAACACCGGCGGCGAAGGCGGCUUACUGGACUGUAACUGACGUUGAGGCUCGAAGGCGUGGGGAGCAAACAGGAUUAGAUACCCGAGUAGUC